GACGAACGCUGGCGGCGUGCUUAACACAUGCAAGUCGAACGAUGAACCCGGAGCUUGCUCCGGUGGAUUAGUGGCGAACGGGUGAGUAACACGUGAGUAACCUGCCCUUGACUCUGGGAUAACUGCGGGAAACUGUAGCUAAUACCGGAUACGACCCUCCGCGGCAUCGCCAGGGGGUGGAAAGAAUUUCGGUCAAGGAUGGACUCGCGGCCUAUCAGCUAGUUGGUGAGGUAACGGCUCACCAAGGCGACGACGGGUAGCCGGCCUGAAAGGGUGACCGGCCACACUGGGACUGAGACACGGCCCAGACUCCUACGGGAGGCAGCAGUGGGGAAUAUUGCGCAAUGGGCGAAAGCCUGACGCAGCAACGCCGCGUGCGGGAUGACGGCCUUCGGGUUGUAAACCGCUUUCAGCAGGGAAGAAGCCGCAAGGUGACGGUACCUGCAGAAGAAGCACCGGCUAACUACGUGCCAGCCGCCGCCGUAA
RNAcentral lists this ribosomal RNA (486 nucleotides) under uncultured bacterium. Its description in RNAcentral is "partial 16S ribosomal RNA". It matches the Rfam family "Bacterial small subunit ribosomal RNA", at positions 28 to 523 of the family's 1533-position model. The record is from RNAcentral.